RNAcentral lists this ribosomal RNA (1121 nucleotides) under uncultured archaeon. RNAcentral's name for it is "bacterial SSU rRNA". It matches the Rfam family "Archaeal small subunit ribosomal RNA", at positions 81 to 1203 of the family's 1478-position model. The record is from RNAcentral.
UCGGACUGCUCAGUAACACGUGGAUAACCUACCCUUGGGACUGGAAUAACCCCGGUAAACUGGGGAUAAUACCGGAUAGAUCAGGGAUGCUGGAAUGCACCUUGAUCCAAAGCUCCGGCGCCCAAGGAUGGGUCUGCGGCCUAUCAGGUUGUAGUGGGUGUAACGUACCUACUAGCCAACGACGGGUACGGGUUGUGAGAGCAAGAGCCCGGAGAUGGAUUCUGAGACACGAAUCCAGGCCCUACGGGGUGCAGCAGGCGCGAAACCUUUACAAUGUGCGAAAGCAUGAUAAGGGAACUCCGAGUGCCAGUAUCUAAUACUGGCUGUCCUUGUGCCUAAAACGCACAAGAUAGCAAGGGCCGGGUAAGACCGGUGCCAGCCGCCGCGGUAACACCGGCGGCCCGAGUGGUAGCCGCUAUUAUUGGGUCUAAAGGGUCCGUAGCCGGUUCGAUAAGUCCUCUGGGAAAUCUGGUUGCUUAACAAUCAGACUGCCAAGGGAUACUGUCGAACUUGAGACCGGGAGAGGUAAGAGGUACUUCAGGGGUAGGAGUGAAAUCUUGUAAUCCCUGGGGGACCAUCUGUGGCGAAGGCGUCUUACCAGAACGGGUCUGACGGUGAGGGACGAAAGCUGGGGGCGCAAACCGGAUUAGAUACCCGGGUAGUCCCAGCCGUAAACGAUGCUCGCUAUGUGUCAGGUACGGUGUGACCGUAUCUGGUGCCGUAGGGAAGCCGUGAAGCGAGCCACCUGGGAAGUACGGCCGCAAGGCUGAAACUUAAAGGAAUUGGCGGGGGAGCACUACAACGGGUGGAGCCUGCGGUUUAAUUGGACUCAACGCCGGAAAUCUUACCGGGGGAGACAGCAGCAUGAAGGUCAGGCUGAAGACCUUACCAGAUCCGCUGAGAGGAAGUGCAUGGCCGUCGUCAGUUCGUACUGUGAAGCAUCCUGUUAAGUCAGGCAACGAGCGAGACCCGUGCCCACAGUUGCCAGCAUACCCUUCGGGGUGAUGGGUACUUUGUGGGGACCGCCGCUGCUAAAGCGGAGGAAGGAGCGGGUUACGGUAGGUCAGUAUGCUCCGAAACUCCCGGGCUACACGCGGGCUACAAUGGUUGGGACAAUGGGA